CCCUACGGGACGCAGCAGUGGGGAAUAUUGCACAAUGGGGGAAACCCUGAUGCAGCGACGCCGCGUGAGUGAAGAAGUAAUUCGUUAUGUAAAGCUCUAUCAGCAGGGAAGAAAAUAACGGUACCUGAGUAAGAAGCCCCGGCUAACUACGUGCCAGCAGCCGCGGUAAUACGUAGGGGGCAAGCGUUAUCCGGAUUUACUGGGUGUAAAGGGAGCGUAGACGGCAGUGCAAGUCUGGAGUGAAAG
This 246-nucleotide ribosomal RNA is filed under the name uncultured bacterium. Its description in RNAcentral is "partial 16S ribosomal RNA". It matches the Rfam family "Bacterial small subunit ribosomal RNA", at positions 337 to 600 of the family's 1533-position model. The record is from RNAcentral.